Molecule: long non-coding RNA, 951 nt
Filed under: Malus domestica (apple)
Lineage: Eukaryota; Viridiplantae; Streptophyta; Magnoliopsida; Rosales; Rosaceae
Description: long non-coding RNA (MDOM_LNC002842)
Source: RNAcentral
UUUCCAAUGAAACAUGACACAUUAAAAAUCACUACUUACAUAGAUUUUAGUUAUCCUUACCCUCGAGCACAUACUUAAUCAUAGUCACCAUUCACUAGCUCACAUUUAAUCAAUUAAAACAACAUUUUGAAUGUAGUAACAUGCUUUAGAGAAUUCUCUCAAUUCCUUACUAGAUAGGCACUCAAUUUUCACUCAGAUUUUUUGACUACACACCCUACACUAGUUAUAUGUGAGAAGAUUGAUAUAAAUAUGUAGACGAACACUCACAUAUAUGUAUAACAAAGAAAGCAUUUUCUGGAGUUAUUAAGCAUGCUCAGUUAUGAUCUCAUGAAUGGAAUGCUACUACUUAGACGCAAGAACCAGUGACACCAUAUGCUCAUACCAAUCCCAAACUCCACAUAUUGAAACACACAACAACCAAGAUAAGAGUCUAAGGGUUGUAAUGGGGCUAAGGGUAUUGGCUAACAAAGAAAGGUUAAAGAUAAACAAAGGUUCUUAAAGCGAUAGCAAGCAAAGUUAUGAAAUCAACUUAGAAUUCACUUUAGAAUGCAGAAAUCAACUUUUAUGAAAUCAACUUAGAAUUCACUUUAGAAUGUAGAAAUCAACUUUUAAACACAAGGGAAGAUUCAUGCAACACUUAGGGUCAAAUUCAAGCUUUUUGGACCCUUUUUUCAACAACCAACACUUUAGAGCUCUUUUUCACAUAUUUUUCAACUCUUCUUUAUUCUUUUCACAACUUUUCUUUUUUUUUCUUUCUAUUUUCCACGAAUUUUUUUUUCUUUUUCUUUUCUACCCGUGCCUCUUUUAAGACUUUGGCACACACACACACACACAAAAAUCCCUUCCCCCACACUUGUUUUUCUGCAAUAUGUUUGAUCAAAAGGAAUUCCGUCUAAGUCAUGCUUCACUAUCCUUUAAGAACAAGGGUAUGGGUAGUCCUAAUCUAGGCUA